AGUGAACGCUGGCGGCGUGCCUAACACAUGCAAGUCGAACGAUGAUGGAGAGCUUGCUCUCCUGAUUAGUGGCGCACGGGUGAGUAAUGCAUAGAUAAUGUGCCCCUUAGUUCGGGAUAGCCGCUGGAAACGGUGCUUAAUACCGGAUACUCCUUCUGGUCUCAAGGCAAGUCGGGAAAGUUUUUUCGCUAAGGGAUCAGUCUAUGUUCCAUCAGGUAGUUGGUGAGGUAAUGGCUCACCAAGCCUAUGACGGAUAUCUGGUUUGAGAGGAUGAUCAGACACACUGGAACUGAGACACGGUCCAGACUCCUACGGGAGGCAGCAGUGAGGAAUAUUGCACAAUGGAGGAAACUCUGAUGCAGCAACGCCGCGUGGAGGAUGACGCAUUUCGGUGUGUAAACUCCUUUUAUUAGGGAAGAUAAUGACGGUACCUAAUGAAUAAGCACCGGCUAACUCCGUGCCAGCCGCCGCAGUAA
Molecule: ribosomal RNA, 476 nt
Filed under: uncultured bacterium
Lineage: Bacteria
Description: partial 16S ribosomal RNA
Rfam family: Bacterial small subunit ribosomal RNA
Source: RNAcentral